Molecule: non-coding RNA, 241 nt
Filed under: Verticillium dahliae VdLs.17
Lineage: Eukaryota; Fungi; Ascomycota; Sordariomycetes; Glomerellales; Plectosphaerellaceae
Description: Bacterial small subunit ribosomal RNA
Rfam family: Bacterial small subunit ribosomal RNA
Source: Rfam by way of RNAcentral
GCCGAUGAUCCACGAAAAACCUUACCACGAUUUGCAUAUUACAUUUCAAUGUAAUACAGGUGUUGCACGGCUGUUUUCAGUUAAUGUUGUGAAAUUAUGGGUUUUCCAUGAAUUAACAGAAUCCUUUGCUUUAUUUAUUAUUCUAAUAAUUAUUAUUAGUAAUUUUAUACAGCACUCUUUUUAAAGAAUGAAAAGAUAAGAAGGAAUAAGACAAGUCAUCAUGGCCCUUAUAUUGUGGGCU